Molecule: transfer RNA, 69 nt
Filed under: Gorpis humeralis
Lineage: Eukaryota; Metazoa; Arthropoda; Insecta; Hemiptera; Nabidae
Description: tRNA-Ile
Source: RNAcentral
AAUAGAGUGCCUGAUAAAAGGAUUAUUUUGAUAGAAUAAAUUAUGUAUAUAUACCAUAUACCUCUGUUA